AGGGGUUGCUCAAAUUGCAAAAACAAAUUUGACAACAAUAACAUCACUUUUUUACGUUUCUCUGUCAAGCAUGUUUAAAUCUUACAAACAUCGCUUGAUUGUGGCCGAUGUGAGACCUGCAUGUUUUAAUCAGGUUGAGGAAGCAUGACUUUAUUAUAAUUUCUGGUGAGGCUCCUCCCUCUGGAAUUCUCCUCCCCAAAACUUUUGGAGGGAAAAUUCAAAUGUAACAGGACACAGGACAGUUAGAUGAGCAGAGGACACACAGUGUGGAGCAGGAGGAUUAUGAGAGCUGAUCUGGAGAGUCGUCUACAAAGAGUGACAUCCAGAGCUCUGCUGGAGCUAUGGGGAAGUUCAUGAAUGUUAUAGUUGAUGUUUCAGAAAAAAGGAAGAUGUUUGAGAACCAACAAAACACAGACCACAGAUGAACAAAGUGAUGUGGCAUUAGGAGGACUUUAUACCAGAUGCCCUCCCUGUUACUGUGUUUAGAGGAAGAAAAGCAGCACAUGGCAGAGACCAGAGCUUCUUCACUGGAAUAAAUCUUCUCACUGUCCAGCUCCAAACUGUGUAUCUCUGUCCCUGUGCUCUCUUUGUGUUUGAUUCUGUUUAAGACAAUACAGAACUGUGG
Molecule: long non-coding RNA, 625 nt
Organism: Boleophthalmus pectinirostris (great blue-spotted mudskipper)
Lineage: Eukaryota; Metazoa; Chordata; Actinopteri; Gobiiformes; Gobiidae
Exons: 4
Source: RefSeq, a predicted model, not a curated record